UUAUCUCUCCCUAAUAACCUUUUGCUCCUUAUUUCCCUAAUAAUAUUAAUUAUAUACGUUGUAAAGCCUUGCUGUCAUGGCUUUAUUCGCUGUUUCCUCGGAUGUAAAUUCUUCUAAUAUUCAUUAAGCUUUUAAACUCCUCUUCUUGAUUGCAAUUUUUUUCCAAUAUUGAGUGACUUUUGAUUUUUUCACUCAACUUAAUAAAUCAGAUUUCCUGUUAAAUUACUUUCUGUACUUGUUCCACACAAUGGCUUAUCUCUUAAACAUAUAGCUUCUUUCUUCUGUCUUGUUCACCACCUUGUCUCUCUAACAAAACUCCUUUACUCAACAUAAGCACUUAGAGGCAGGACAGACCCAAUAAAAAGAGAGAAAACACCAAUUUUAAACACCUGGAUAAUUGUUACUGUGAUAUCUCAUCUAACCACCCUACCAUCAACCAUGCACUCACCUUUUGUAGCCACAGUCCAUCGUACAAGGUCCUGAGCUAUAGUUUCCUUAAUCUGAUCCCAUAUGCUUUGCUUCUUUUUAGAAUUCUUCCCUGCUCUGGUCCUCUAUAAUUUAUUCUCCUUAUUUUUGAAGAUGGUUACAUAUUUAUAUUGUUUCUUAAAUUUCUAGGCAUUUAUUUCAGGAGAGGAAGUCUAUAGUUUGUGCUCAGUUCUUCUUAAAACACAAGCCACCACAGCUUUCCUAGGAAUGCCAGAAUUUCACUAAACUGGAGUUUCAACAGGACUUGAAAACCUCAUUUCAGAAUUAGAACAGGGAAUACUAAUCAAAAUUCAUGAUAAUAAUCUUAAGUCAUUAAGAAAGAUGUUUUAAAUCUUUCUUAUAUUCUACUGAAAAAGACAGGAAACUAUGUAAUACAUCUUGGAAAGCAUCCUAUUUCUCUUUUUAUUUGUGAUAUUUCCAUCUUCCCUAUUCCCACCAGCCAAAAAUAUAUUCAAAUUUCUGUAUCCAAAAAAGACCUUAUCUACUUUUUCCUCAGGUUUCUGUCACCAGUUCUUUCCUUCUUAUCAUCACCAGACUUCAUAAGAGUUGCUGAAAGUUACUUCACAAUUCUAUCCCUAGCCCAUUGGAUGUUGGUUUCUGCUUCUACUGUCUUGCUGAAACUUGUCUUAAAUGUCAUCAAAAACUGCCCAGUUGCCAAAAUCAUCAGCUUGUUUCUUGGUUUAUUUCAUUCCAUCUUUGUUUCCACUGAUAAUUCCUAUCCAGUUAGGAUUCAUAGCUUUUCUUCUUUGUGUUCACAGCAUGUCACAACAAUCUUGAGACUUUGAACAGCACGUGUCUCACACUCCUGUAUAUAUUUACCCAGCAUUAUAUCUUACUAGUGCACUUUGGAACUGUUCCCAUCUCCAGAUACAAUUAGAGGAAAGCACUGACCCCAUCCCAAGUCAAGCCUUGAGCCUGCAGAUUCCUGAUGGUAGGAGUGAGGGUCCUGCCCUCAGGACCCGCUGGAGGGUAGAACAGGUGGGUUGAUGUCUGCUAUAUUUCCUCUUGGGCCAACGCACUUCAGUAAAUGGUCUCUAUUUUAGAAGCCCAAAUAUCAAGAGGACUUUAGAGGACUGGACUAGGAUAUCCUGAGACUCAAAGCAUUAACAAGAUCAUGAUGCCCAUUGCCAUAAGUAAUUUAAAAGAUUUGUUUUUCAAUGACACAAAACCUCAUGUAUGCUGUGAUCUAGCUAUUCUAAUUUGGGGAACUUUCUGACAUUACUAAAAACCAAACUUCUUUGUAUUUUAGUGAAUUUCUGUGUAUCCAUUUGGGGGUGGGAGGGCUUGUUUUUCUCUUUUCUUUACAUAUUUAGCCCUCCUGUGGGGUAUUCUACCUAUAUGCAGAUUAGAAAACAACCAAGGAAAGCUAGAUUUUCUUUUUCUACCUGGGUCUCUGACUGACCUAACCAGUUGCAUCUAUUUCAGAAUGGAAACAAUUUGUACCAACAACAAACCUUAAUUAAUAAAUCCAAAAUAGAUAAAGUUUCAUAUGCUGUGCUUUGGAAAAUAACUUAUUUCUGAAUGUGAGUCAUUCUAAGAACAAACUCUAAUUGAUCAUGUAAAUUCAGCCUAUACAAAUUUGUGUUAAAUAUCAUUACUUAAUAAACUUCUUAACCACCUUCCUGAUUUUGAGCCUGCUUUCAAAUUUUAAUUAGAUGUAAUGAUCAGACAGUUAUAAAAUGCUAACAUUCAAAGAGGAAUUGAUGUACAUAGUUUUCACCCUAAUAUUUGGGACCUGCCAUUCUGGAUUCCAAAUGUAACCUGUGCAUGGUUUCUUAGGACUCACUGGGUGUGUAUCGUCUAAGGACUCUAAACGUAAUGCAUGUAAUAGUUACAUUCAUAGGAUGGCUAUGUAAUUUUAUUAACCAAACUAGUAAGCUUCAAAAUGCAAACUAUAAUACAUACAAGUUGUAGCCUGUAGUUGUUUCCAGAAUCAGACUUUUAAAGUUAAAAUUCUCAUUGUUUUUAAUUCAGAUAUCUUUUACUCUGGACUAAGAGGCAAUCCUCCCCAUUCUUGGUGUUUAACAGGAGGCAGCGACUUUAGAAUUCUCUCCCAUUUCAAGUGCCCACAAAACUGCUAUUGCUGCUUACAAAAGUUGUGCAUAAGCCUGGAUACAAAACAAACCCUAUGGGGAAAGAAAAAAAAAAACGGGUCGAUGAAUUCACCCAAGUGCAAAUUACCUCAAGAUUCAUUUUUCCCUUUUUGUAGAACUAACAAGUGAAUCUUACUGAGUUGGGACCAAAGAAACCCACUGAAGUGAGCCUUUAAGAGACAUUUGUGCUGGUGAUGACAGCAUUUUCAUGGUAAUUUGUUAAUGUUCUUGCAAAGCAGGGGUAAUUUACUCCAGUAAAAUCUAGCUAAUAGCCUUGUAGAUUUGAGGCCUUCAACCAAGGGCCACAUGCAGGCCUUGGGCGGCCUAGUGCCUGUAGGACUGCAUAACCACCAGAAGAUCUCACACCUGACCUCCUGGCUCACACCUGACCUCCUGGCUGACUCCCUUUCUCAGCCUCACACCACCGUCACAUCUCAGAUCCAGUUCCCAGUAUGGGACGUCCAAUUGGUGUUAAAGGGAGCAGGGAGCUUGGGAAGGGGCAGGGCAGAAGGCACAGCAUUUGUGAGUGUUAAACUCAGGAAGGCAUGAACCUUCAAGCUCUCUUUUUUGGAGGCAGGCUUUAACACAAAGAAAAGAAAAUGAUGUGUAAAAACAUACAUCAAUAUCAUUCAUUUUCUUUUCUGAUUAUAAAAAUAAUACACAUUCAUUAUAGAUUUUUGAAAAACAGAAAGACCUCCAAAUGGGGACAAAAGCACCAAUAAUUGUAUCUAGACAUCUUGAUGCAGUUCCUGCCAGUUUUUCUCCAUGCAGACUUUAAUUACUUUAUGCAAAUUUAUUGUGUAUGAAUACUUUUUUAAGAAAAUCUGAUUUUUUGGCCACAUAAUAUCACUAUUUGUAUGCACUGUAAGUUAUAAAAUGUUUCCAUUAUUAGACAAUAUAGGUGAUUUCCAUUAUUGCAUAACUAUAAAUAACAUAGCAGUGAACAUCCUUAUACAGAAAUCUUGGUCUCCCACUCUAAUUAGGUUUUUAAGAUAGAUUCUCAGAAGGGAUAAGUGGAAUCAACGGGCAUGGAUGUUUCAACAUAUUUGAUACAUAAAAUCAAGUCAAAUUGCUCUGCAGAAAAGCCACAUCGAUUAGACAGUGUGUUCAGCCACGUGGUAGGAGAGGCCUUUAUUAAUGCACUUUCACCAACAUUGAGUUUUUAAUCUGUGCUAAUUUGACUGGUAAAAUGACAGAUCGAAAGUCACAUUUUCAGUUUAUGUGUACAAAAGUUAUUAUAUAUAGCUCAGUUUGCUCAUAAAAUUAACAUAUUUGGGCCAUUUAGAAAGCCAUAAAAUGAGUCACUGAAUACCAAAAGUGACUUCAAAGAGCAUGGAAUAUACUGAAGGCGAAAUUGUUUGCCCAGGCCACUCUGUAGUGAUGAACUCAGGACUAAAACCCAAGAAUUCUAUUUCCCAUCCCAGCGUUCCUAAGAAGAGAUUUUUAGUAAGAUAGAACCUGCUUUAAAAUGCAGAAAGAAUGGAGAGGCGGAGGAGACUUUUAACUGUGGUUUGAUAAAGCUGUUUUCCUCACUAAUUUUUCAAUGCUUUCACACUGUCCGAGGCUGGUGGUCCUGACAUCUGGCAGCUUUUUAACCUUAACUUUUGGAGGGGAAAAGUCAAGAAAUACAAAGUUGUUUCAGAAUUAACCAAAGCAAAGUAUCACUAGGAAGCUCAGUCCAUUCCGAAGAUAUCUCAAGAGACCAUCUAUAAUAAAAUAUAAAUGACUCCUCGUGGUCUCUACCCGAGUUGUCUGUGAUUCAUUCAUGGUGAGAACAUGAAGGUAUAAAGGCCACAACUAAAGAUUUUGCUUGUUACCACGCCUUUAAAACUUCCUUUUUAAUUUUUUACAUGCAAUUCUCAAUUCUUCCCAAUGAGAGAAAGGAUCUUUGUCCCCUCCCCUUGAAUCUGGGCAGGUUUGUGACUGCUUUGACCAAUAGAGUAUGGAAGUGGUGCUAUGUGAUUUCCGAGUCUAGGUGAUAAAAGGCAAUGCAUCUUCCUCCUUCUCUUUUGGGAACACUUGUUCUUGGAGAUAUUAGCCAACCUGUGAGAAGCACCAAUACCCUGAGGCCAUUAUGAGGAAGUUCACACCACAGAGAGAGACCCUGAGUAGAUGUGCUGAUUUACAGUUCCAGCUGAAUGCAGCCUUUGAAUCACCCCAGCCCAGGUGCCAAACAUGUGAGAGAAGAAGCUUCCAGAUCAUUCCAGUCCCCAGCCAUCUGAGUCAACUUCAGCCUUUGUGUCUGCCCAGUGAAUGCCUCAGACAUCAUGAAGCAGAAGCAAGUCAUCCUUACUGUGCUCUGUCUGAAUUCCUGACUCACACAAUUAAUGAGCAUAAUAAAAUGAUUGUUGUUUUAUACUCCUGUGUUCUGGGGCAUUUGUUGUGCAGCAAAAAAG
RNAcentral lists this long non-coding RNA (4975 nucleotides) under Homo sapiens (human). RNAcentral describes it as "HSALNT0194169". The record is from RNAcentral. Lineage: Eukaryota; Metazoa; Chordata; Mammalia; Primates; Hominidae.